This is a long non-coding RNA of Musa acuminata AAA Group (dessert banana), 1091 nucleotides long. RefSeq lists it as uncharacterized. The record is from RefSeq and is a predicted model, not a curated record. The transcript is spliced from 2 exons. NCBI's taxonomy places the organism in Eukaryota, Viridiplantae, Streptophyta, Magnoliopsida, Zingiberales, Musaceae.
UCCAGAUCAGAAUGGAGAACGUGAUUUCGCAGCCACACGUUCCAGGUGAUGAAGUGGUGAUUCGCAAGUCUGCAAGCUACCAUCCCACCGUUUGGGGUGAUUACUUUAUCUUACAGGCCCAGUCCUCCCCCAGUACACAGGCAUGUAUAUACACAUAUAUCUCACAUAUGUUAAGUUUUAGGCAAGAAACUCUCCGAGAACGAAUGGUGUUAAUGUUUCAUUAACAUGAAAAAUGUGCACUUGCUACUUUCUUUCGGUUUUGUUGGUUGAACAAUUAAUUGCUAUGCUAUGGAGGAUGCAGGAGUGCGAUGCAAGGAUGCAAGAGAGAGCUGCAGAACUGAUGGAGCAGGUAAGAAGCAUGUUCAAGGACACUACCGACAUCUUGCAAACUAUGGACUUGGUCGAUUCAAUCCAGCUUCUCGGAUUGAGUUAUCACUUCGAGAAAGAAAUAAGUGAAGCAUUAAACCGAGUCCAUGAUGCCGAUUUUAACGAUCAUGGUCUCUACGAUACUGCUCUCCGGUUUCGCCUUCUGAGACAACAAGGGUAUCAUGUGACCCCUGAUGUUUUUAACAAGUUCAAAGAUGAGGAAGGAAAUUUAGUGUCCACCUUGAAGGAUGAUCCAAAGGGACUUUUAAGCUUAUACAAUGCGGCUUAUCUACGGAUACAUGAGGAGACCAUACUCGAUGAAGCUAUUUCCUUUACAAGGGACCAGAUUGCGUCCAUGUUAAGUGAUCUCACACCACCGUUAGCAACGCAAGUGAGACUGUUCCUGGAGAGUCCUCUCUGUAGAAGAAUGAAAAGGGUCUUGGCACGAAAUUUCAUCUCCGUCUACCAAGACUGUGCGACACGAAAUGAUGCCUUACUAGAGCUGGCAAAGCUUGACUUCAAUCUACUGCAAUGUCUUCAUCGCGACGAGAUUAAGAGCAUCUCCAUGUAAUUUCUUUCCUACAGUUAGAUUGAUUGAGAGUUCAGGUUGAGGAGUAAACUUGAAUACGUAGAACACUGACAUUGUAGAAAUGUUUGAUUGUUUCCGUCUUUUUUUAUCGAUGUUUGGAUUGACAAUAACAUUGUGGUUUGUGGAUUGCAUUGAA